GACAGAGGUGCCGAGCGUUAGGCGGAAUCACUGGGCUUAAAGCGUGUGUAGGCGGACUUCUAAGUACCUUGUGAAAUCCCACGGCUCAACCGUGGAACUGCUUGGUAUACUGCGGGUCUUGAGCCACCUAGGGGCAAGUGGAACAAACGGUGGAGCGGUGAAAUGCGUAGAUAUCGUUUGGAACGCCAAUGGUGAAAACAACUUGCUGGGGGUGUGCUGACGCUGAGACACGAAAGCCAGGGGAGCAAACGGG
Molecule: ribosomal RNA, 253 nt
Filed under: uncultured bacterium
Lineage: Bacteria
Description: partial 16S ribosomal RNA
Rfam family: Bacterial small subunit ribosomal RNA
Source: RNAcentral